GGCAUCAUCAGAGUAAACAAAUGCAGGGAGGAGGCUGACAAAAUUUACAGACCUUAGCGCGCACAACAAAUCACGCACUUGACUGCUGCACAGCAGGAGUCCAAAGGGCACCUUUCCCAUACAAGAGGCUGCAAGAUCCCCAGCAGGGACUGCUCCUGCAGGCAGCGUCUGCAGCAGGAGGUACAGGCCUCCCACAGGCAGGAGCAGCCACGCCUUGCUGAGGCCCAGGAUGUGCUCCCCAGCCCUGACAGAAGAGACAGACCCCAACCAAAGAGGCACAGCAGUCUCCCAGAAACGCCCGGCAAGAUGAAGAGGAACAAGCAGUCAAACAUUAUAGAGAAAUGAGGCACCAAAGCAUGCUUCAAAGCAGUGCACAGGAGGCACUAUCACAAGCCUCAGAUGAGCAGGACAGCUGGACCUUGCAAUUAUAAGAUUACCAAUGGGCAGACCACAUGACAUCUGAACAUAAAUUGAGGAAAGGCUUCAAGAAGACAAAUAUAUACCAAGAGAAUGAUCCCUCCUGACCCAUAGCUGUAACACCAUCAACAUCCAAUGUGGCAGUGAAAUGG
Molecule: long non-coding RNA, 569 nt
Organism: Choloepus didactylus (southern two-toed sloth)
Lineage: Eukaryota; Metazoa; Chordata; Mammalia; Pilosa; Megalonychidae
Exons: 4
Source: RefSeq, a predicted model, not a curated record